AAAUUGAAGAGUUUGAUCAUGGCUCAGAUUGAACGCUGGCGGCAGGCCUAACACAUGCAAGUCGAACGGUAACAGGAAUCAGCUUGCUGAUUCGCUGACGAGUGGCGGACGGGUGAGUAAUGUCUGGGAAACUGCCUGAUGGAGGGGGAUAACUACUGGAAACGGUAGCUAAUACCGCAUAAUGUCGCAAGACCAAAAAGGGGGACCUUCGGGCCUCUUGCCAUCAGAUGUGCCCAGAUG
Molecule: ribosomal RNA, 240 nt
Filed under: Shigella boydii
Lineage: Bacteria; Pseudomonadati; Pseudomonadota; Gammaproteobacteria; Enterobacterales; Enterobacteriaceae
Description: partial 16S ribosomal RNA
Rfam family: Bacterial small subunit ribosomal RNA
Source: RNAcentral